Zonotrichia leucophrys gambelii is the source of this 3060-nucleotide long non-coding RNA. RefSeq lists it as uncharacterized. NCBI's taxonomy places the organism in Eukaryota, Metazoa, Chordata, Aves, Passeriformes, Passerellidae. The transcript is spliced from 2 exons. The record is from RefSeq and is a predicted model, not a curated record.
GGAAGGGAAGGGAAGGGAAGGGAAAAAAUUCCAAUCAUACAAAUUGAGAUGCUCUCAAUUUCAUUGCUUAACUCCAAAGACAAUAAGUAGGCAGGGUCUAACUUUGCGAAGGCUGAUUCUCUCUGACUAACUUGGCACUACUUCUGGAGUUAGGCAAUGCAUGUUAGCCAAAGGAAGAUUUUUCUGUGUGGGAUGCUUGGUGCCCUGGGAAGAAAAUGCAUUUGAUUUCAGAAGGUACCUCCUCCGGAUUUGCUCCCCACUACCACUGCCUAAGAAGUUGCUGCUGUCCUGCUGGCACUGAAGCUUCUUUUCAGAUUCAUUUAUCCUUUUUUCCCCCAAAUUUCACCAGUUUCUACAUCACUGUGCAAGCUGUUUAAGAGAUCAAGAGCUUUGGCUACUCUCAGAGGUUCCUGGUCCUGCCCGAAAACAUUUAAAAGUCUCUGAUGGAAACUCUAUGCCAAAUUCCCAAUUUCGUCCCCCAGUCCAACUCACAGUCUAAGUUUCUCACUUUGUUUGCCAUGCAUCUUUCCAGAGUCUUUGCCUCAGCUCUGCCUUGUUCCCUGUGCAUAAUAUCUUGUUAGCUUUUUGCAAACUGCUGGAUCAAGGGACAGGAAGAGAACUGGAAAAGCACACAACUCAUCCAGUGUGGGGGUGUAGACCACGUACAGUCACAGCAGCACAGAGCUGCAAUGGCAGGAAGAUACCUCCUUCCACUCCACAUUCAGAGAAAAUGACAUUUUCAGGGCAUUUAUAUUCUGGAAUUUCAAAAUGUGUGAUCUGUCUACAUUGACUUAUCAAGUAUGAGUGGGUUUUCAUGUAUAAAGAAGUUGCUCCUCACUAAAUGUAAAAUUGGCCUCCAAGCCAAGAACUACUGGAGUUUCUAGGCAAAAAGAUAGUUCUGACAAUGUAUAUUCCCUGCAAACUUUCUCUAACCCGAUCUUCCUCUUUAAGAAAGGGAAGUUAGUGGCUUAUAAGAGCCCUAAACAUUCUUCUUAGCAUUAUUCCAAAUUCUUCUACAGUACAAAAAAUAAGUUACAGGGGAAAAAAUUCCAACAAUCUGUUGAUGCUUUCCACAGAGAAUAAUCAUCUGAGGAUUGGAUUUGGAAAAUCAAACUAAAGAACCAGAUAUAAGAAAAACCUCCCCUAACAUGCUUCAGGAGUAACCUGUCAUCAGUUCAAUGGACCAGUUGGUAGCUUGGCAGUACGAUGAAUGCUCAAAACAAUGGAAACCAAUCCAAAGUACAAAUGCUGGAAAAGUAAAAAAUCAAGUAGUUACUGUUUUGAUUUGUUUUACUCCAUUCAUAUAAAUAUAGCACUCCAUGGAAAAUACAAAAAAAUUAUGGUUCAACAGAAUGGUCUCUGUGCUGAAGGUGUAUGUGUGGUAUCUUACAUCCACGGACAUGUUUAUCUAGCAUUGUUCCUACCUCUGUAAGGUACAUACCAAGCUAUUUUAAAACAAGAAUUUUAUUCCCCUUGUAACUGUUUUCUUCAUCAGUUUUAAUUAAAUAUAACAAGAAAAAUGGCAGCUGGAUUAAAUAACGUGCUGUGAGAGUAAAACUACCCGGUAGUCAAAGACAAAUAACAACAUAAAACCAAAAAUGCUAAUGGCAUACUAUGAGUGCAAUGAUCAACUGAUUAGCCGCUUAAUUUCUCAUUUGAAAUCAAAUUUGCAUACCUAACUUAUCAAUUCAGAUGUGACAGUAACAUUAAAAUUAAAUAUGUGUUUCAGUAUUUCAGUAAAUGACAGCCAUUGGUUAAAUAGCAAUAAUACUAGCCUUUGUGACAAACAUGUAGGGCACAUUGCCUAAUUCAUUUCAUUUUCAAAUGAACAAAGAGUGACUCUGAAUGCCUUGUUUCCCUACAAAUAUGCCUGGAAGGAUUGGUUGCUAACACUGGAGACUGAAAGAUGGUGGCUACAGAAAAUAAGCACCAUUUAUAAUGUCAAACCCAGCCUCUGAAGCAGAAGGGUGCUGCUCAGGCAUCAGCUCCCCAGACAAGAUAAGUGUUUUGGCUGUGGUUUGGACAUAGCUGCUCACCAGACAUAUUAGGUCUCCACGCAACAGUCUUGCUAGCAACUAAUAUCAACUCUCAAGAAGGAAAUCUGAGAUUUCUAAGGCUUUUUUACUGAGAAAAAAAUCUCCUCAAACGUCUAUGACAAUUAAUGGCUUAUGUAAUAUUUAAAUAUUCAUGUUCAGAAAAAUGACCACCAUAGAUCACUCAUCUGCGAAGUUUUGGUCAAUGUCUGCUUUACUGAUGAAGGUAUUGAGCCACCUCAGGGACAUUAAGAGCAAAAUUUUGCAAAAAAAAAAAAAAAAAGAUAUCUCCUCUGAUGCAUUUUUGAGUACUGCUAAUUAAUGUGUUGUUGUUUAGGACCAUGUAUCUGAGAUAACUAUAUCUUGUAACAACUUUUGCAUUAUAAAUUCCUAUUUAUGAAUCUGGGAACAGAGACAAAAUAAAAUCCAUUGUGGAUGAUUAUCACUGCUUUUUAAAUAUGAUUGAAAAACAAUAAGGAAAAGUAAAUGUUUUUUAUUUUUGUGACAAGGAUUGAAUUGCACCGCAUUCAGGUUACCUUUUCUUACAUUUUCUGUUUGUGACAAAGAUACUUGCCUGGAAUGUUAAUUCACUGAGGAUAGAGAAAAGAAAAAGAAGAACCUGGCAAAUUGGGACUUUAUCUGCUGCUACACAUUUAGAAUGGUGGAAACACAGCUUAAAGAGAUGAAGAAACAAACCAUAGUGCAAGAUGUGUGGCAAAACCUGCAUGCAGAAAUCACAAAGCUAUGAAGACUGUUAUGCAAGACUGUGGAUUACCACAUGAUUAUCUUUGCUUACAGUAUAUACAUAUCUAUGUAGUACCCAGAUACAUGCAAGGGUGGACAAAAUAUUAUUUUCCCUGUAAUGUUUAAGGUUUUCAGUCACUUCUGUUGCUGCUUAUCAUGGUUUUUUGUCUCAUCUGCAUAGCAAUGUUCUGUGUUUCAAUAACUAUAGGAGAUCACCACCUACAUAAAUAAGUAUAUAAAUGGAAGUAUUUAUGGACUGAAACAAAGAGGCUGAAAUGCUGUA